CUAAUACUCCCUCCGUCUCAUAUUAAGUGCCGAAAUAUUACAUGUAUCUAGAUGCUUUUUAGGUACAGAUACAUUCAUAUUUGGACAAAUUUGAGUCACUUAAUAUGGGACGGAGGGAGUAGUUG
Molecule: non-coding RNA, 125 nt
Organism: Brachypodium distachyon (stiff brome)
Lineage: Eukaryota; Viridiplantae; Streptophyta; Magnoliopsida; Poales; Poaceae
Source: Rfam